UCUCAUCUCUCUCACAACUCACAUCUCACCAGUCUAUCUCUCUCUCUGGCGAUUCCAGAUCCAGAUUUGGAUCUAGGGUUUCUCUGCUAUCUCUCUCGCGAUCCAAGCUAUUCAGAUCCGCCUUUCCAUCGAGAUUGAAGCGGUGGACAAAGAUUGAAGAGGCGCGAGCUAGGGUUGUUACGAGACUCAGGUUAACUCCAGCAAGAAUUCCGAAGUCUGGUGAGGCUCCGGCGAGUUCUCCGGUGACUGAUGAAACUUGGUCUAUAUCUAAAGCGGCCUUUGGCUUGCUGGUUAGUGGCCCUUCAGGGCAAAUGACUUGGAUUCGAGACGGCCCAACAAGUUUGGAUAUCAGGAAUAUAAAAAGGCUAUUGACAAUAGGUUUGGAGGCUCAGGAGUUCAUGAUUGCUGGUAGAUGGUUGGAUUUGGCUUCGUUGAUGAUUACUUCUGCUGAUUUGGUGUUUUCUAAAGCGUCAGAUAAAGGUUAAAUCGUUAAACUCAAUCUGGUGAUUCAGUUUUCAGCUUUUUAUUUGUUGUGUUUCUAUGUGGUUGUUAAUAUACUUGUGUUUGUUGGUGCAACUGCUGUCGAGGAUAAGCUGCAACAAGGGGUUUGGUUUCAAUGACACCGACGACAGUGGUGACUUGCGGUGGUGGAUAGUUUCGAACAGGGAAUCCGCUAGGCGGUCAAGAAAAAGAAAACAAGCACAUUUAACCGAUCUUGAGCAACAAGUGGAACUACUGCGAGGAGAGUACUCAGAUUUGUUCAAGCAACUCACACGUGCGAGUCUUCAGUUCAAAGAUGCCUCAACGAACAACCAAGUGCUCAAGUCAGAUGUGGAAGCUUUGAGAGCUAAGAUCAAAGACUUGAAGAAUAGAAGCAGAAGAAAAUGGAGAAAAAGCACAAGGUUCUAACCGUUGCACCGUUUGAAUGUGCGUGGCGUGAUGAUCUAUGAUUCAAGGAAGCAGGACGAGGUUGCGUUGCAUUUGAAGCGUUUGCACACAGCAGAGUUGGUAACAAAUUAAACCAGUUUGGGUCGUCGCGAACACUUUUACAUAGACCUACUAAGGGAGACAUACGAACUCGAACAUGUAUAAACCAUCUAAUGAUGGUUAAAGUUGCCCAAGGUGCAGGAUUGUUGCAGGAUUCUAUCAUGAAAAUGCAAAGAGGAGCUGUUAAACCAAUAGCUGUGUUAGCACGACACCCAAACAGACCAACUUUUCUUGAUCAUGCAGUCAACAUUACUUAUA
This is a long non-coding RNA of Helianthus annuus (common sunflower), 1245 nucleotides long. RefSeq lists it as uncharacterized. The transcript is spliced from 8 exons. Lineage: Eukaryota; Viridiplantae; Streptophyta; Magnoliopsida; Asterales; Asteraceae. The record is from RefSeq and is a predicted model, not a curated record.